This 886-nucleotide long non-coding RNA is filed under the name Panax ginseng (ginseng). Its description in RNAcentral is "long non-coding RNA (PGIN_LNC007917)". Lineage: Eukaryota; Viridiplantae; Streptophyta; Magnoliopsida; Apiales; Araliaceae. The record is from RNAcentral.
AAAAAGUGAUUCAAGUUCAUUAGAUUUUGCAUAUCUUCCCUUAAACAUAACUCAGGUUAGUAAUUUCAUUUCUUGUUUAAGUGUACUGCCAAUAUUUUAAAAUUAUAUUAUUUAUUAUUAAUUUAUUAAUUAUUAGCAGUAGUUUUAUUUUUAGUACAAAUUGAUUUUUGUUUCCCCCGACGAAUGAAAAACACAAAACUGAAAAUUUCAAUUCGGUGCUAGAUGGUGGAUUUGAGAAAUUACUGUCUCCAUCCGUCGUUUCUCUCUCCGGCGAAUUUCGUACAUCUCCCAUCCUCCGAUCAUCGUUGCCGUCAUCGUAAUUUGAUUUUGAUUCUGAUCGGCGGCAAUUUUUAACCUUUAUAUUCAAGAUGAGGAGGAUAAGGAGCUCUUUCUUCUCUAAGAUGAUUAUGUACUUGUUAUAGAUCGGGGGUUACGGAUCUUUUUGGUAUUUGCUGGUGAUGGUUUUUGAAGAUGUAUCUCAGAUCUAAAUGGUGGGAUCUGGCGUCGGCUGACAGACGAGGCUCUCGGAUCUAAAUUGUUGAUUUUGCUACUCUAUUUUGUUCUUGAUUGUAUCCAUGGCGGGACGUCGUUUCGCCGACGAUUCUUCUGGUAACGGAGUAGUCGACGGAGGCCUAGAUCUUAUUUUGUCUGCUGAUGUUUUUGAUUUAGUCUGCUAUGGGUUUAGUCUGAUAUAGAUCUAGAUCUAUAAAACUGUUACUCUGUCCUUAGAUCAUAUAGAUGUUGUGGGAUUUUUUGGUCGGAUUUUGAAUAUGUUCUGGACUGAUUACUAACAAAUCUUGUAGGAGUUUUUCAAAAUAAUAAUAAUAAUAAUAAUAAUAAUAAUAAUAAUUUGAAUAAACAUCAUUCCUGACGUCUUUGAAUUUGG